UGGUGGAAGGAAAAAAACGUAACAAGGUUUCCGUAGGUGAACCUGCGGAAGGAUCAUUAUUGAAUAUUCUUGAUGGGUUGUAGCUGGCUCUCCGGAGCAUGUGCACACUUGUCUUGACUUUAUUCAUCCACCUGUGCACCUUUUGUAGUCUUGGGGGUUGAGAGCAGUCGACUAUCGGAUGGCUAUGGCCUUUCCGGACGUGGGGAAUGCUGAGUGCGAAAGCAUACAGCUCUUCUCAAAUGACUUGCAAAACCUCUCCCUCGAGUACUAUGUAUUCAUAUACCACAUAGUAUGUUGUAGAAUGUGAUCAAUGGGAUAAUCAUAUACAACUUUCAGCAACGGAUCUCUUGGCUCUCGCAUCGAUGAAGAACGCAGCGAAAUGCGAUAAGUAAUGUGAAUUGCAGAAUUCAGUGAAUCAUCGAAUCUUUGAACGCACCUUGCGCUCCUUGGUAUUCCGAGGAGCAUGCCUGUUUGAGUGUCAUUAAAUUCUCAACCCCUCCAGCUUUUGCGAGUUGUGAUGGGGCUUGGAUAUGGGAGUUUGCGGGUCUUUAUCAAUAAAGGUCAGCUCUCCUGAAAUGCAUUAGCGGAACCGUUUGCAGUCCCGUCACUAGUGUGAUAAUUAUCUACACUGUGAUGAUUGCUCUCUGACUAGUUCAGCUGCUAAUCGUCCACUAUGGACAACACUUAAUGAAAUUCUUGACCUCAAAUCAGGUAGGACUACCCGCUGAACUUAAGCAUAUCAUAGGGGCGGGAGGG
This 756-nucleotide ribosomal RNA is filed under the name Leptocaulis ericaeus. Its description in RNAcentral is "eukaryotic LSU rRNA". The stretch from base 328 to 481 matches the Rfam family "5.8S ribosomal RNA". The record is from RNAcentral. Lineage: Eukaryota; Fungi; Basidiomycota; Agaricomycetes; Agaricales; Lycoperdaceae.